This is a non-coding RNA of Serendipita vermifera MAFF 305830, 83 nucleotides long. The record is from the annotation of a GenBank genome assembly. NCBI's taxonomy places the organism in Eukaryota, Fungi, Basidiomycota, Agaricomycetes, Sebacinales, Serendipitaceae.
GGUCUGCUGGUCUAGUGGUAUGAUUCACCCUUAGGGAUUUCUCCAUCUGGGUGAGGUCCUGGGUUCAAUUCCCAGGUAGACCC